Long non-coding RNA from Rhipicephalus sanguineus (brown dog tick), 904 nucleotides. RefSeq lists it as uncharacterized. The record is from RefSeq and is a predicted model, not a curated record. NCBI's taxonomy places the organism in Eukaryota, Metazoa, Arthropoda, Arachnida, Ixodida, Ixodidae. The transcript is spliced from 2 exons.
AUUACCGACGGGCCCCUGCCUGUCAUCUCCGGCGACCGUUUCAACCCCCAUGUCGUAGUAUAGAACACACAGUCGUCGUGUCAAAGCGAAACAGCUGGUAAAUCGCGCGCCCUUUUAAUAUUAUAUAACGUGGCGGCGUUGACGGAAGAGUUUGCAUGCAAACGUCAAGUGGUCGAUGACCUCGCCGCGAAGGUGCCUGGUCGCGUGACAUGUCCCCGAAGCGAAAAGGACUCGACCAGCGGUGAAUAAACGAGAGAAAGAUAAAAGCGUGGAAUGGCGCGUUGUUCGAAUCAGGUACUGGCGGCGGUGCGCGGAGCUGAGCUGUUUGUGUUGCCUUGCCGCUUAUCGCGAUGCGAAACAGGAUCGCUGGGCGGUACACGUGGCCUGUCGUGUUGGCUCCGCGUGGAACCGCGAGGGCGCAGUUGCGAGAGUAGUGGUCGCGCAACUAUCGCCUACACGCGCUCACAUCCAUUCGGGCGGCCGACGUGUGUAGACAGCAUGGUUCUGUACGCGGUCCUGAUUUUCGUGCCCGUUGCCACGAUCGGCUUCUUCACGUACAAGCUCAUCCAGAGCUUGCGUGACAAAGAGAAGAGGAAAGAGGACAAGAAGAAGCAGAAGCAGCAAAAGAAGAAGGCCAAGUGAGAGGACAAGGACGCUUGCCCGACUUUCACACGCUGCCCCCCGUGCAAAGCAGGGCCUAACAUAUCACCACUCACGGAUGGGGGGUAGGGGCGAACGGCAAUCUUCCAAAACGUCCUCUCUACCACCGCCGCGUCGACGAUGCUUCGAAACGGCGGCAGGGUCCCUCUCGGAGUUGACUCUCGACAAUCCGGGCACCACCAAAGCCAUUCUCUGUUGUUUCCUCGUGUACAUUCCAUUGGAUGAAGGCUCUUUCUUCCUCACU